Molecule: long non-coding RNA, 366 nt
Filed under: Prunus dulcis (almond)
Lineage: Eukaryota; Viridiplantae; Streptophyta; Magnoliopsida; Rosales; Rosaceae
Description: sRNA ncRNA
Source: RNAcentral
UCUCUCUCUCUCUCUCUCUCUCUCUCUCUCUCUGUUCUGCAAUUUUCUCAACCUUUUGGUGACUACCCCAAGAUCCAUGUAUAUUUUAUCAUUGAUGAAGGUCUCACUAGCAGAUGUAGAUGGGAGGUGGGUCUAUAACAAACAGGCUACAAGUUGACUAGCAUGAAAUUGAUAUGGAAAGGGUUGAUUGUUAUUGGAUCUAAUAUCUCCAUCAGAUAUUAAGAUUCAUUGAAAAUGAUGACGAAAUUUCCUGGUUGCAACAAUUUAUUAGGCUAUGGGGAUUUGGCUCUCUUACUUGUGUGACUAAUGACUGUUGAUGGCAGUCGGAAGAAGACGACAGAGGGGUGGCGUGCGGGUAGAAUUGCU